AGUCGAACGAACUCUGGUAUUGAUUGGUGCUUGCAUCAUGAUUUACAUUUGAGUGAGUGGCGAACUGGUGAGUAACACGUGGGAAACCUGCCCAGAAGCGGGGGAUAACACCUGGAAACAGAUGCUAAUACCGCAUAACAACUUGGACCGCAUGGUCCGAGCUUGAAAGAUGGCUUCGGCUAUCACUUUUGGAUGGUCCCGCGGCGUAUUAGCUAGAUGGUGAGGUAACGGCUCACCAUGGCAAUGAUACGUAGCCGACCUGAGAGGGUAAUCGGCCACAUUGGGACUGAGACACGGCCCAAACUCCUACGGGAGGCAGCAGUAGGGAAUCUUCCACAAUGGACGAAAGUCUGAUGGAGCAACGCCGCGUGAGUGAAGAAGGGUUUCGGCUCGUAAAACUCUGUUGUUAAAGAAGAACAUAUCUGAGAGUAACUGUUCAGGUAUUGACGGUAUUUAACCAGAAAGCCACGGCUAACUACGUGCCAGCAGCCGCGGUAAUACGUAGGUGGCAAGCGUUGUCCGGAUUUAUUGGGCGUAAAGCGAGCGCAGGCGGUUUUUUAAGUCUGAUGUGAAAGCCUUCGGCUCAACCGAAGAAGUGCAUCGGAAACUGGGAAACUUGAGUGCAGAAGAGGACAGUGGAACUCCAUGUGUAGCGGUGAAAUGCGUAGAUAUAUGGAAGAACACCAGUGGCGAAGGCGGCUGUCUGGUCUGUAACUGACGCUGAGGCUCGAAAGUAUGGGUAGCAAACAGGAUUAGAUACCCUGGUAGUCCAUACCGUAAACGAUGAAUGCUAAGUGUUGGAGGGUUUCCGCCCUUCAGUGCUGCAGCUAACGCAUUAAGCAUUCCGCCUGGGGAGUACGGCCGCAAGGCUGAAACUCAAAGGAAUUGACGGGGGCCCGCACAAGCGGUGGAGCAUGUGGUUUAAUUCGAAGCUACGCGAAGAACCUUACCAGGUCUUGACAUACUAUGCAAAUCUAAGAGAUUAGACGUUCCCUUCGGGGACAUGGAUACAGGUGGUGCAUGGUUGUCGUCAGCUCGUGUCGUGAGAUGUUGGGUUAAGUCCCGCAACGAGCGCAACCCUUAUUAUCAGUUGCCAGCAUUAAGUUGGGCACUCUGGUGAGACUGCCGGUGACAAACCGGAGGAAGGUGGGGAUGACGUCAAAUCAUCAUGCCCCUUAUGACCUGGGCUACACACGUGCUACAAUGGAUGGUACAACGAGUUGCGAACUCGCGAGAGUAAGCUAAUCUCUUAAAGCCAUUCUCAGUUCGGAUUGUAGGCUGCAACUCGCCUACAUGAAGUCGGAAUCGCUAGUAAUCGCGGAUCAGCAUGCCGCGGUGAAUACGUUCCCGGGCCUUGUACACACCGCCCGUCACGCCAUGAGAGUUUGUAACACCCAAAGUCGGUGGGGU
Molecule: ribosomal RNA, 1410 nt
Filed under: Lactiplantibacillus plantarum
Lineage: Bacteria; Bacillati; Bacillota; Bacilli; Lactobacillales; Lactobacillaceae
Description: bacterial SSU rRNA
Rfam family: Bacterial small subunit ribosomal RNA
Source: RNAcentral